This is a long non-coding RNA of Gadus macrocephalus (Pacific cod), 963 nucleotides long. RefSeq lists it as uncharacterized. The transcript is spliced from 6 exons. The record is from RefSeq and is a predicted model, not a curated record. Lineage: Eukaryota; Metazoa; Chordata; Actinopteri; Gadiformes; Gadidae.
GAAUAAAACCUCUGAGAGCAGCAGAGAACAGACACAACCAGCAGUUUGCAUGCGGUCACCUUCUUUUACACUUUGAGAUUGUCAACAAUCCCAAAGAUUCAGCAGCUCAAAUGACUUAAGUAGGUUCUAGGUUGUAUUAUUUAGGACAAACAAGAGAAAAGCUUAACAACCUGGCUAAACAUCAGUCUAUAUAUAGUCUCCUCGUUGAAAGCGAUCUGCUCUGUCUGACUCCAUGGGCCAAUAGCGAUGGGAAUACAGACCCGGACCCUACCGUUGCUCCUCCCCUUCCUGCACUCCUCCCCCCGUCAUGUGGCCCAUCGACGCUCAUUAAAACUUUCAGCCAAUGGCAUCCUGCCAACACACAGCCACACCCUCCUGUGUUGCCAUUUUAGCAACGGCAGCUCUGCCGCCCAGCCUGUGAUUGGUCAAGACUCUGUGAGGUCCUAGGCCACACCUACCCCCGCGAUGACGUCACCAAUAUUACACCAAGAUCCUGGCCAAAGUUGGAAGGAAUCUCCACAAUCAAUCCCAUCAUCCUCUCUGGCUCAUCAAGGAGAGGAUCAAAGACCAUUUUUAUGGCGCCUAUACCGGUCGUGGGAACCCCUUGUUCUCGGUCCAUGACAACCUGAGUCCUGUUGUUACCACCGAGCAGAACUUUGACAGCCUUCUGAUCCCAGCUGAUCACCCCAGCAGGAAAAAGAGGCGACAACUACUUCCUGAACAGGACUACGAUGCUCCGUGCACACACAUCUGCCCACCAGAGGGAGCUAGUGAGGUCGGGCCUGGAUAGGUUCCUAUUGGCUGGAGAUGUAUACAGGCGGGACGAGAUCGACGCCACUCAUUAUCCCGUCUUCCAUCAGAUGGAGGGCGUUCGGCUGUUCACUAAUCAUGAGCUGUUCUCGCGGGUGAGAACGGCGAGGACCUGUCUCUGUUUGAGGCGGGCGGCAGACGCACGGCUCAGAA